UACGAAGGGGGCUAGCGUUGCUCGGAAUCACUGGGCGUAAAGCGCACGUAGGCGGACUCUUAAGUCGGUGGUGAAAUCCUGGAGCUCAACCCCAGAACUGCCUUCGAUACUGAGAGUCUCGAGUCCGGGAGAGGUGAGUGGAACUGCGAGUGUAGAGGUGAAAUUCGUAGAUAUUCGCAAGAACACCAGUGGCGAAGGCGGCUCACUGGCCCGGUACUGACGCUGAGGUGCGAAAGCGUGGGGAGCAAACAGG
RNAcentral lists this ribosomal RNA (253 nucleotides) under uncultured bacterium. RNAcentral's name for it is "partial 16S ribosomal RNA". It matches the Rfam family "Bacterial small subunit ribosomal RNA", at positions 524 to 776 of the family's 1533-position model. The record is from RNAcentral.